Molecule: small RNA, 1779 nt
Filed under: Pongo abelii (Sumatran orangutan)
Lineage: Eukaryota; Metazoa; Chordata; Mammalia; Primates; Hominidae
Description: processed transcript
Source: RNAcentral
GGCCCCGCCCCGUCCUAUUCGGGCUCCCGCCUCUGUUCAGUUCCGGAGACAAUUCAUGGGUCUUGGGGCCACCGAGGCGCUGUCCCUGACCACUAGCACAAGACCCCUUUCUAUCGUGCCAGUCCUGUGGUCUCUGCACCUCUCCAGCUCCUGCACCCCCGGCCCCCGGGGUUCCCAGGCGUACAAUCGCGUGUCCCGGGUAGCGUGAGGACCCACGGGGCUGGGCAGGACACUGGGUCCCCUAGGAGCCUCCCCAGGCUUAAUGAUUGUCCAGAAGGUGGCUAUAAAGGGAGCUUGGGAGGCAGGGUGGAGGAGGGAGCAGAAAAAACCCAACUCAGCAGAUCUGGAAACUGUGAGAGCGGCAAGCAGGAGCUGUGGUCAGAGGCUGUGCGUCUUGGCUGGUAGGGCCUGCUCUUUUCUACCAUGGCAGCCCAGGGCUAUGGCUAUUAUCGCACUGUGAUCUUCUCAGCCAUGUUUGGGGGCUACAGCCUGUAUUACUUCAAUCGCAAGACCUUCUCCUUUGUCAUGCCAUCAUUGGUGGAAGAGAUCCCUUUGGACAAGGAUGAUUUGGGGCUCAUCACCAGCAGCCAGUCGGCAGCUUAUGCUAUCAGCAAGUUUGUCAGUGGGGUGCUGUCUGACCAGAUGAGUGCUCGCUGGCUCUUCUCUUCUGGGCUGCUCCUGGUUGGCCUGGUCAACAUAUUCUUUUCCUGGAGCUCCACAGUACCUGUCUUUGCUGCCCUCUGGUUCCUUAAUGGCCUGGCCCAGGGGCUGGGCUGGCCCCCAUGUGGGAAGGUCCUGCGGAAGUGGUUUGAGCCAUCUCAGUUUGGCACUUGGUGGGCCAUCCUAUCAACCAGCAUGAACCUGGCUGGAGGGCUGGGCCCUAUCCUGGCAACCAUCCUCGCCCAGAGCUACAGCUGGCGCAGCACGCUGGCCCUGUCUGGGGCACUGUGUGUGGUUGUCUCCUUCCUCUGUCUCCUGCUCAUCCACAAUGAACCUGCUGAUGUUGGACUCCGCAACCUGGACCCCAUGCCCUCUAAGGGCAAGAAGGGCUCCUUGAAGGAGGAGAGCACCCUACAGGAGCUGCUGCUGUCCCCUUACCUGUGGGUGCUCUCCACUGGUUACCUUGUGGUGUUUGGAGUAAAGACCUGCUGUACUGACUGGGGCCAGUUCUUCCUUAUCCAGGAGAAAGGACAGUCAGCCCUUGUAGGUAGCUCCUACAUGAGUGCCCUGGAAGUUGGGGGCCUUGUAGGCAGCAUCGCAGCUGGCUACCUGUCAGACCGGGCCAUGGCAAAGGCGGGACUGUCCAACUAUGGGAACCCUCGCCAUGGCCUGUUGCUGUUCAUGAUGGCUGGCAUGACAGUGUCCAUGUACCUCUUCCGGGUAACAGUGACCAGUGACUCCCCCAAGGAUGUUGCUUUCUGGACUCUGGCUCUUCACCCUCUCGCGGAGCUCACAGGCUUUACAGAGCAUGAGCUCUGGAUCCUGGUAUUAGGAGCUGUAUUUGGUUUCUCCUCGUAUGGCCCCAUUGCCCUGUUUGGAGUCAUAGCCAAUGAGAGCGCCCCUCCCAAAUUGUGUGGCACCUCCCACGCCAUUGUGGGACUCAUGGCCAAUGUGGGCGGCUUUCUGGCUGGGCUGCCCUUCAGCACCAUUGCCAAGCACUACAGUUGGAGCACAGCAUUCUGGGUGGCUGAAGUGAUUUGUGCAGCCAGCACAGCUGCCUUCUUCCUCCUACGAAACAUCCGCACCAAGAUGGGCCGAGUGUCCAAGAAGGCUGAGUGA